CGGAGGUGCUGACCCGCAGCGAGGCAGAGAUGACUAAGUUACAUAUGGAAGAUGGCGACGACAACAGCAUGUCGUAGAAGGAGAUAACAGGUGGAGCCAACGAUCCGCUAAGACUCACGUAUCUACAACUCCAUCCCCGAGCGGCAGUCAAAAGGAGGCGUGAAUGCAAGAUGCCAGCGGAAUGAUCGGCCGGACAGAGGCUAGGGCUGCUUCCUUCCCACCGCGUCCUUCCUUGUGUGUCGGAGAUAUAAAGCGAGUGCACCGGAAAAGAACGGGAACUGGGUCGAUCUAUUCUAUGGCGAAGCAUCCGAAGCAUAACUGCACACUCACACGAUCUUUGCCGAGAGAUAGGAGCAUUCGGUGGAACCGGUGAACUACACUUGCUUCUGGAUAGAUGUGUGGGACAGAGGGCUCGUGGUACCUGCUGCCCACCCUUCCUCCUCUGCUUUGAGAACCGUGUGAACGGAGAGUGGGCAGAAGGGAAGGAGGUCCUCAUACGGAGUCGCACACUGACUUGAGCAGUGCGGAAGACUGGGGAAUGGGUUGAGUAAACUCCCCUGGGGCCGGAAAAAUAACAGACGAAGCUUUACUUAGAUAGGGCUUUGAUUGGUCUUUUUUUUUUUCUUAGUGAUUGGAAAGGAGGGCGCCUGGGUAUUUUACAAAAAGGGAAGGCAGAGGUAGUACUUCGAAUGGCGAAACGAAGGGCUAAAUAGCGCCAGUGAUUCUCUGAGCCGGUCUGGAUUUUCAACGCCUCGGGAAACUGGUCGAGAUAGAUGACAGCACCCUUUUCCUCUCUUCUAUUUCCGUGCCGGGAGGGCAAUCUUAUCUUAUGGCCUUUCCCCCCCGGCACGGAAAUAGAAGCCAGCCCCCCCUUCUGAUCCAUAAAUUUCUGCAAGCAGGGGGGAUCCAGAGCUAAGCCUCCCGUCUAUUGCAUAACCUAAAAAAGCUAUAAGCAAAGUACCAAAGGUGCGCUCCUUUCCAAACGGAUCCGGUGACUCAGAAAGAAAUUGGUUUGCGCUUUGAAGUGAUGAGGUCUUUAUUGAAGAGGGAAGUAGGGCUCCUAUUGAAAGGCUUUCCCUCCCUCAAAAGGCGACCAGCUUUCAAUACUAGUUGUUACGUUACGCUGCCAUUUUUCCAAUAUAUAUCAUUGAAUAGCAUGGCCUGCCUGGGGCUAAGGUAACUCAAGUGGGAGAGCCGUGUUAUGGGUGACCUUAUUGCACGGUUCAGAGAGCACUUGUGUAUGUGAUGCAAGUGAACGUGUACGAAAAAGCUGUAUCUAGGGUGAGUUCUUCGUUCCGUCGUCGACCC
Lupinus albus (white lupine) is the source of this 1308-nucleotide non-coding RNA. The record is from the annotation of a GenBank genome assembly. Lineage: Eukaryota; Viridiplantae; Streptophyta; Magnoliopsida; Fabales; Fabaceae.